GGCGCGUUCGUCUAGUGGCCUAGGACAUCGCCCUCUCAAGGCGAAGACCACCGGUUCGAAUCCGGUACGGGCUA
This 74-nucleotide transfer RNA is filed under the name Actinomycetota bacterium. RNAcentral's name for it is "Actinobacteria bacterium (groundwater metagenome) tRNA-Glu". It matches the Rfam family "tRNA". Rfam says of the family: Transfer RNA (tRNA) molecules are approximately 80 nucleotides in length. Their secondary structure includes four short double-helical elements and three loops (D, anti-codon, and T loops). Further hydrogen bonds mediate the characteristic L-shaped molecular structure. tRNAs have two regions of fundamental functional importance: the anti-codon, which is responsible for specific mRNA codon recognition, and the 3' end, to which the tRNAs corresponding amino acid is attached (by aminoacyl-tRNA synthetases). tRNAs cope with the degeneracy of the genetic code in two manners: having more than one tRNA (with a specific anti-codon) for a particular amino acid; and 'wobble' base-pairing, i.e. permitting non-standard base-pairing at the 3rd anti-codon position. The record is from RNAcentral. Lineage: Bacteria; Bacillati; Actinomycetota.